RNAcentral lists this ribosomal RNA (497 nucleotides) under uncultured bacterium. RNAcentral's name for it is "partial 16S ribosomal RNA". It matches the Rfam family "Bacterial small subunit ribosomal RNA", at positions 28 to 507 of the family's 1533-position model. The record is from RNAcentral.
GAUGAACGCUGGCGGCGUGCCUAAUACAUGCAAGUCGAGCGAACAGACGAGGAGCUUGCUCCUCUGACGUUAGCGGCGGACGGGUGAGUAACACGUGGAUAACCUACCUAUAAGACUGGGAUAACUUCGGGAAACCGGAGCUAAUACCGGAUAAUAUAUUGAACCGCAUGGUUCAAUAGUGAAAGACGGUUUUGCUGUCACUUAUAGAUGGAUCCGCGCCGCAUUAGCUAGUUGGUAAGGUAACGGCUUACCAAGGCAACGAUGCGUAGCCGACCUGAGAGGGGGAUCGGCCAAACUGGAACUGAGACACGGGCCAGACUCCUACGGGAGGCAGCAGUAGGGAAUCUUCCGCAAUGGGCGAAAGCUUGACGGAGCAACGCCGCGUGAGUGAUGAAGGUCUUCGGAUCGUAAAACUCUGUUAUUAGGGAAGAACAAAUGUGUAAGUAACUAUGCACGUCUUGACGGUACCUAAUCAGAAAGCCACGGCUAACUACGUG